Long non-coding RNA from Quercus robur (English oak), 1506 nucleotides. RefSeq lists it as uncharacterized. The transcript is spliced from 4 exons. NCBI's taxonomy places the organism in Eukaryota, Viridiplantae, Streptophyta, Magnoliopsida, Fagales, Fagaceae. The record is from RefSeq and is a predicted model, not a curated record.
UUCUUGAUUCAGCUCAGGCUCUCGCCACCGUUAUAUUCCACCUGAAACACUACUGGUAGAGGAGGUUGAGUGAUGAAGAAAAGAAGGGCACCAUCGAAGAUAUCUAAAACCCAUUUUAGCUCAGAUUUGACAGCCAUUAAAGGUUGUUGCUAUUGCACUAAAGUGUGAAACAACCUAGGCAUAAUUUGAUGACAUCGCUACCAGAUCCAGAAGAUACCCCAAAUGCCCAAAAGUCACCUGGGAUAGGACACAAAGAGAAAGCUCAUAGCGUUCUAGAAAAAAAAAAAAAAAAAAAAAAAAAAAAAAAAAAAAAAAAAAAAAAAAAAAAAAAAAAAAAACAUUGUGUGCGUUUGGUUACAGAUUAAAAAGCCAACUUAUUUUACUAUUUAGCUUAUUUUUGGUACUAUUCAUGAGUUCUACUCUACUAUUUCAGUUAACUUUUACUUUUAUCUACAAUAUUUUUAGCAAAAAGUUUUCAGUUUCAGUAAAAUAAGCGAAUCCCAAAAGAACCCAUUAUUUGGAAUUUUUAUUUUAGCUUAUUUGGCUUAAGACGUUGUCUAUAACUAUUUAAUAUGGUUUAUUACAUUGUCAAGAACAAUUUUAUGUGUUUUAUGAUAUAUGAAUAUUGAAAAGGUAAUCUUAAAAAUUAGUAGAUUCAGACUAGGUUAUUAAAAUUUAUGAUUUUUGUUAAUGAAUUUGUCACAUGGCCUAUGUGCAGGGUUUUAAUAAGUUCACUAAUGAGCUUGUGUAAUAUUUGAUAGUGUGCAUCAUCUAUUAUAGUUUUGGUAUACUAAACUUUGGUUGAAACAAAAAUACUAUGGUUAUGCAACACAACAAAGGUUCACUAUAAUAUGCUUGUAAAUGUUUGAUGAUAAUUGAAUUUGUUUUAUGGGUGAUUAUUAAAGCUUAAUUUUACUCACUAGAUGGUCUACAUGUAGUCAACUAAUUUUGAUCAUAUCACUUUUCAAACUUGUGGUAUAUAUUUUUUUACUUACUGAUUGUAAGUGAACUUGGUUUAACUUUAUCGCAAAUGUGUAUAAUAUUUUUCAUGGUAUAAAAAAAAAGUUUGAAAUCCAAAUGAGUUUCAAAUGGUUUAAGCAACUAAUAACCAUUUUUUUGCUUUUUUUAAAGGGUUGUUUAGGCUACCAACAUUUAAUAAUUCAAUUUAACAUCUAUAAUUGACCAUUUCCGUGCAUAAGUACGAGUUACAUUCUAGUACUCUUCUAAAAGGUAGAAUAUCAUGGAUCUAUAGUCUACAAUGAAUCAAAAAUAAUUCGAAUAAUGGUUCGAUUAAUCUCAUGUAUGUACUAGGGGUUUGAAUAAUGGUUAAAUUAUUAAAUUCAAUACUUUUGAAUUAGUAAUUUAUCAUUAAGUGAAACUUUGAUCCUCCCCAUCAAGCCUAACAAAGAAAUAGAUGGUUGACCACAUGAAUCCAGCCAACAAUCUCUCUCCCUCUCUCUCUCUCUAUAUAUAUGUGUGUGUGUGCGCGCACGCGCGCGCGCGUGU